AGAGGGUGCGAGCGUUAAUCGGAAUUACUGGGCGUAAAGGGCGCGUAGGCGGUUAUAUAAGUUAGAUGUGAAAUCCCUGGGCCUAACCUAGGAACUGCAUCUGAUACUGUAUGACUGGAGUGCAGUAGAGGGUAGUGGAAUUUCCGGUGUAGCGGUGAAAUGCGUAGAUAUCGGAAGGAACACCAGUGGCGAAGGCGGCUACCUGGACUGACACUGACGCUGAGGCGCGAGAGCGUGGGGAGCAAACAGGAUUAGAUACCCUGGUAGUCCACGCUGUAAACGAUGAGAACUAGAUGUUGGCAGGUAUGACCUGUUAGUAUCGAAGCUAACGCGAUAAGUUCUCCGCCUGGGGAGUACGGCCGCAAGGCUA
RNAcentral lists this ribosomal RNA (370 nucleotides) under uncultured bacterium. Its description in RNAcentral is "bacterial SSU rRNA". It matches the Rfam family "Bacterial small subunit ribosomal RNA", at positions 527 to 896 of the family's 1533-position model. The record is from RNAcentral.